This 413-nucleotide unclassified non-coding RNA is filed under the name Hevea brasiliensis (rubber tree). Lineage: Eukaryota; Viridiplantae; Streptophyta; Magnoliopsida; Malpighiales; Euphorbiaceae. The record is from RNAcentral.
UAAUAAUAAUAAUUCUUUUAGUUCAUGGGAUGUAUCCUUCAAGGUUUUAUACGGUAAGGAUGCGAAAUCCAAGACUAAAUUAGAAGUGCUGGGAAAGGUUUCGUUGAAUAUAGCAGAAUUGGCUUCCAAGAUGGAUUCUCAGAUGGAGGAAAAGCUGCCUGUUUCUGUACGUAUUGAUGGCGGAGUAGAAAAUCAAGCUACCCUUUCUAUAUGCGUGAGCUUUGCUGAGGUAAGGAAUUCUAUUGACCCCCCAGAAAUCGUUCAAAACUCGGUUGAGUCACAUGAUAAAGAAGGAUUGCCUAAAAUAGCUUCUAGCCUGACACCCUCUAAGAACAAAAUCGAUGAAGAAGGCCCACUGAGUUUUUCUUACUCGAAUGACUUAUUCGGAAAUGAGUCGAUUGGCAAUACAGGGA